RNAcentral lists this long non-coding RNA (1503 nucleotides) under Cyanistes caeruleus (blue tit). RNAcentral describes it as "lncRNA (ENSCCEG00000004721.1)". Lineage: Eukaryota; Metazoa; Chordata; Aves; Passeriformes; Paridae. The record is from RNAcentral.
GGUAUAGAAAGGUUCCACAGCUUGGAGACACAUGGGAAAGCUCAAGAGAGAAUGACAAAAAUGAUCUGGGAGACAAGUCUAUCACUAUGAUCCAUCACCUGCACCCAUCAUCUGGAAUAUAUUUCUGGGCCCAUCUGGGGACUGGCUUCAUUUUCCCCUCCCUUUGUGGCUCCAAACACUGCAAUAUAAAAUCUUCCAGCCUUAGCAAAUGAACAUAUGGGUGAAACUUAUGUGUGAUACAAGUAAGCCAGGCGAGUUAAUAGCCACCAUGUCCCUCACCUCUGUAGAUCUAAAGAGACUCUUUCCCACAGUUCAGACAUAAGUUUAACUACCCUCUAGCAAGCUCAUUUCCCAGCCAGGUUGCAGGUGGCAAUGAAAGACCUGCUCUUCAUCUCAAGGCAGAAAGCAUGCAAAGCUGCACUGGGCUUGGUGUGGUGGCUGAGGACCUGUGCCAGCCCUAACAAAUGCAAGCUGUGAAGUAUUUAGAUACAACUGCAGGUAUCACAUCAUAAACAGGUAACUUUUACUUGGCUGUUUUGCAAAAACAAAGUCCAGUAUUUACAAAUCUCUUUGUGAAGGCACAUGAGCACUCCAAGGAACUCUGCUGACUCACUGAGCCUUUGCAGUGAAAGGAGACCACAAGUUCUUGAGGAGCAGCGUACACGUGGCAGGAGAGCUCUUGGGUGGAGCUUGAAUUUCUUACAGGAAGGCAGCAGAAUCCAUUUUGAGCAGUCUGAAAGGGAAAGGACUGCACUGGCAGGGAAGUGAAGGUAAGAUGGUGAGGAAAAGAGAUCACCUUGAUUAACACAGUCUGUUACUAGAAAAUGUAUUCCUAAAUGACCAAUCUGUAUGUGAAAUUUUUUGGGGGGUUUUGCUAGUAUCUGUUGCAUUGAUUAUUUCAUUAUCUGUGAACAGGUUUAUCUGGUAAAGAAUUUCUUCCUCAUAUCUAUCCAUCACCCUAUGUCCUAUCCCUACAUGUGCUUGUAAAAAGUCUCUCUCCAGUUUUCUUGCAGGCUCCUUUUAGGUAGUGGAAGGCUGCUGUAAGGUCUCCCAAGAGCCUUCUCUUUUCCAGAUGGAACAGCUCCAGCUGUCUCAGCCCAUCUUCACAGAAAAGGAACAUGUAUGUAACAGCCUUAAAGACAAUUGAUUAAAAAUGUGAUGCUUUCCCUGACACAAGAGCAUGGAGCUGGACACCAAACAGGCAAUUCCAGCACCUUGUUGUGAGCCAUCCUCCCUGCUGCCUCAUCUAAACACUGGGGUGCUGGAUUCAUACAGAGGUUACCAUCACAGGUAAUCCAGGCAGGUGAACACCCAUGUCUGUGGGCUGCCAGUGGGCAGUGGGUGCCUGAGGACCCUCAAGUCCCUUGACAGUGUUAUAUCAAUUAAAGGCACACAUUUGCUGGUGCUACAAAACUGAAACCCCUUCGUGCCAUCUUUGCUUGGAUUGCCUCCUCAGCAUUCUCCUUCUGAGUGCAAGGAAACAGCAAUGGGAAGAAGGGCUGU